Corticium candelabrum is the source of this 1090-nucleotide long non-coding RNA. RefSeq lists it as uncharacterized. NCBI's taxonomy places the organism in Eukaryota, Metazoa, Porifera, Homoscleromorpha, Homosclerophorida, Plakinidae. The transcript has 7 exons. The record is from RefSeq and is a predicted model, not a curated record.
CUGUCAAUCCAUGGCGAAGUGAUCAAAUACGGGAAUGACUAGGGCGGGGUGGAGGCUUCAAGCCACUCAGGCAUCUAGUGGCGUGACGACUGUGACUAUACAGCGGUAAAAGUCCUUUGACUACUUCGAGAGUAUUGGAUGACGGUGACAAUGAAACAAGCGAUGCAACGAACGACAUUCUUGCUCAUGCAGGAUUACUCACGUACAUCAUAAAGUACUAUCACGUACUACCAUAACGUAAAGUAGCACUGUACGUCUGGCUUAGCUAGUGCAACCAGAGGUGCAAGGUUUUGAGGACUGUUGCCCAAGAAUUGUCAUGUCUGGCUACAGAAUGGACAUUGGUGCCAACUGGCUAAAAGUACUAACCCAGGUUGCUACAAAUACUGAAACAAUUAAAUAAGAACGUAGGAAUCUCAAUUCUGUAUGCAGUUGUUUUGACUAUCAUGGAUAUCAAGUCAGAGAGUUGACUGCAAGUAUUGACAGUGAACAUUGUUGGACGUUUUCUACUCAAUACAGACAAGAAUUUCAGAUAUGUAGCUUUGAACACUCUUCUAAAACAGAUCACACGGAUCAUACAUCUGUUCAAAGGCACAGGAGCACCGUUGUUGAUUGUUUAAAGGAUCGAGACAUAUUCAUUAGAAGCAACAGUUGAGGAUGAGGCUGCGGAUUUCAUACAGUCUGAAUGGAUCCCCUGUGACGAAACAAGGUGAGAUUGGCGAAUUUCCACCAGCAGUUUCUCACUAAUGAGAAUCAGAUGAUUAUUAGUUUGUGCUGCUCGUCAAUCAUCUUGCUUGUUGUGUGACUGUUGUUGUCGUCGUGCUUUCUGGUCAAGUUGUUGUAGAUUAUUGGGUAGAUGACACUUGUAGAUUGGCAGCUGUUGGCUAUGACUUGCUUUCAAAUUGUAUUUGCUACAGUGGAAAUAAACGCGUCACAUUUUAGUCUAGCGGACGGUAGGCGUUGCGCUGGAAUCUGUUGGCCACGUGGUUCGUGCGGAAUUAGGAGUCUGUCUAUCGCUUUUAGUGGCUGUAAUGUCGACGAUUUGGAAUAUGCAGAAAGGAGAUGCAAACCGUCACGUCGAGACUUUAUAAUG